RNA transcript from Mandrillus leucophaeus (drill), 552 nucleotides. It is a transcript of the gene named NADH dehydrogenase (ubiquinone) Fe-S protein 6, 13kDa (NADH-coenzyme Q reductase), with no coding region annotated. The record is from RefSeq and is a predicted model, not a curated record. The transcript is spliced from 5 exons. Lineage: Eukaryota; Metazoa; Chordata; Mammalia; Primates; Cercopithecidae.
UUGCGCCGGGUCAAAGGUCAGCUGCUCAAAAUGGCGGCGUCAGUGACCUUCUACCGGCUGCUGAGCCGGUGCGGCAAGGCGGCGCGGAGCCGGCCCCUGGGCGCCAGGUGUUUCGGGGUUCGGGUCUCGCCGACCGGGGAGAAGAUCACACACACUGGCCAGGUUUAUGAUGAUAAAGACUACAGGAGAAUUCGGUUUGUAGAUCGUCAGAAAGAGGUGAAUGAAAACUUUGCCAUUGAUUUGAUAGCAGAGCAGCCCGUGAGCGAGGUGCAGACACGGGUGAUAGCGUGCGACGGCGGCGGGGGAGCUCUUGGCCACCCGAAAGUGUAUAUAAACUUGGACAAAGAAACAAAAACUGGCACAUGUGGUUACUGUGGGCUCCAGUUCCGACAGCACCCCCACUAGAGCACGUGGCACGCUGGGGGCCCCGCAGCGUCCUGUGAACAUUUCCACGGGGAAGAUGAGCGCGUGAAGCUCGCUGGUUCUGUGCGAAGGGUAUUCCCGGUGCCGAAUAAAGGGUGGCUCCCGGGCAGGCCUCCCUGUCCCUGCCCG